Molecule: long non-coding RNA, 1302 nt
Organism: Pipra filicauda (Wire-tailed manakin)
Lineage: Eukaryota; Metazoa; Chordata; Aves; Passeriformes; Pipridae
Exons: 10
Source: RefSeq, a predicted model, not a curated record
CUUUAUGUCUCUAUUUUCCAAGGAAGGACCAUGGAUGCUAUUAAUUUCUUCAGUGUAAGCAUUGUUUUCCAGGAAGUAGAUAAUGAAGUUCGGUAGAAACAGGUGGAGUCACAUCAGUUGACUAAAACAAGGAAGAACUCAUACAAAGCUAGAUCAUAUUGUGGGUAAUCUCAUCCAUCCUCCUACCCAGGAUCGACCAACAUUAUACUUUUCCUGUUUAACACACAACUGUAUCCACAGAUAAUGCAUUGCCAAGAGGGUCACCUGCUGAAAAGAUACUUUCUUUAAGAAGAGUACACUUCAAAGGGACUGACAGUGCUUUGCAGAGUGAAUGCAAAAGUUGCAAAGCAGUAGAAGCCAACUUACAGAAGACAGAUUUUAUCUGUAACAAGCUUCAUCCUGCCCAAACUGUAUCAUAACUGCUACAGAAACAUCAGAUAGAAUACAGGGAAAAAACCAACCCACCUGGGCAGAGGGAGAAUUCAAAGGACAACGUUUUGCCUCACAGGGAGAAUAUGCCUGAGGUGUACCUGGCUGAGAGGACAACAAACAUGGAGUGGGAUGGAUGUUUCCCACUUACAGUGAGGGAGUACAACACAUGCUUUAUCUCAAUUUUAAAUAUUUGUGUGGUCUCUAUCACUAUAGUGUCUGAACAACAUGGAAAAAUCAUUAAUGAGAAUUUUGUUGCAGAGAAGUUAAUUCUAAGAUAUUACAGAUGGAAGCAGGAAAAUGGAUGAGAGAGGGGGAAACAUGAUAGAUUAUAAGGGCGUUCCUAAGGGAAGCUACUUGUUCAUUUAAUAACAAAGGACUGUUCUGCACUGGACAUUGUUUCUGCGUUCACCGAGCCUGUCGACAGUAUUGAAUAUUUUUGGCUGCAAGGGCUGCUCCCCUGUAGAAGGAGGGGUUUUGUGUGGGAAAGUUACGAGGCAGAAAAUUCAGAACUCAACGUAUGUCAAGCAAUGAAAAUGGCUCAAGCACAUCAAAUAUCACCCUGUUUUAUAGAUUAAUGAAAGAAGCUGAGCUGCAGCGUGCACAGCAUUAAGGCAGAGAAAAAAAUACCAUUAUCCAGCAGAUGAUAACAAAUAUUGUGGAAUGAUUUCAUGCCCGGAGCUAUAGUAGGAAGGCAUAAAUGAGACAUUUCAGCACCUACCUGAGGAUCUCAGUUUGGUACCACCUUUCGACCUGUGAACGAGUGGACUGAUGCAAGGCCCUGCACCACAGUGAAGGUGCAUCACCAGCCAUCACCACCCUCAGCAGUUAUAAGCUGAUACAAAAGGCACAAGAGGACUGUGAAUCUAUGCC